GACCCAAUAAACGAGAAUUUAGAUUACAACCAUGAAUUGAACAAAAUAACCUAAGUCAUAAAACUUCUCGCUUGCUUCGUUCAACCCAACUCUCGGCACAUUUUUCAAGCUCGGAUUCUAAAUUCCCAUAAAUCAAUUGCUCUCAACCGUUGACGUUGAUCAAGUAAAGGUGAGAUUCAUCUCGUUUCUUCUGUUGUAGGGGCUUCCGUUUGACGUUUCUGAUGUAGCUAGCGACCGAUGAUUUCAUCAAUGGUUGUAUUUCUGGACGUAAAAAAAAAGAGGAAAGCCGAGAACACUAACUAAAGAAUAGCGCUCUGUAAAACAUGGCUGUACACAUCGCCUCCACCACCAAAUCCAAGCUCGGAGAGAGGCCAAAGACCUCCAAACCGAAAUCAGACCACAAUAAAAGCGAGUCCGAGACACCAGCCGCACCUGAUCCAGUAAAGCUCAUAACCUGCAAACAAGCAAUAGCAAGGCAGCACCACCGCAACAACCAAGUAGCUGACCACGGCCUGGGAUGUGCUACUCCACCGAAAGGAGUCACCGGAGACCACAAGACCACAAAGACAAAACGCAAACUACACGAGCACUGCCAAUCGCCGUCCUCGAGAACCGAAGCCCGAAUACUUGCAACCCGUUAAGCAUUGUACCAGUGAUAUCGCACAACAACAGAAAUCAACACACAUAGAACAUCCUAGUGAACUUCGUCGACAAAGAAUCACUAGGGGACCAGAAAAGGAACCGGGAAGCUGAGGAACCAGAGGGUGGGAGUUCACCACUGAGCCUCAGAGAAAUCCAUAGACGACCUCACUGCAGCAACCUCAACGAACCACCACCUAAAGUAUUAACACACGCCAAUACCAUAAGCUAAGAGCGUCCUCGAGUUAAGGGAACCUCCGAGACACCCCUCGCGGAGGGAGACAGUUGCGGCUCACAAGACAUCAACAAUGUUACCACCAACUGCACCUAACGCCUCUCAUCACCGACCUGGGAGCAAAGUCACCGGACCGGAAUAGAGCAGCUCCUCCUCCUUCACGCGCUGAAGCUUCUCCAGACGAAAAGGAUCACAUGUAUAACCCAAAAAGCCGACUCUUCAGACAAACACACCUUACGCUGACCGCGUCAAGACUCUAUCUCCAACUGAAAUCGCGGCGGCCCGGACCUCCUCUCAAGCGAAGACGAGAAUGAGCGAUCCUCCAGAGACAGAACCAUCCACAAGACGGCCAAGGGAGCCAGCGAGAUGUCAGAGAAGCAAGGAGAAGACGAGAUGGAAGGGAGAACGGUGGAGGCGCCGUCCGGACGCCGGACCCAAAGCUCAAUUUUUAGAUUUGUAAACUAGAGAGAAAGCGAGGAGAGAGAAAGUCGAGUCUUUGUUAUUUGGUAUGAAUUAAAUCGACCCGAUAAACGGGAA
This 1411-nucleotide long non-coding RNA is filed under the name Brassica napus (rape). RNAcentral's name for it is "long non-coding RNA (BNAP_LNC016531)". The record is from RNAcentral. Lineage: Eukaryota; Viridiplantae; Streptophyta; Magnoliopsida; Brassicales; Brassicaceae.